ACAUUAAAUUAUAAGGGCACUGAAGCUUUAAAAGGUAUAUUGGAGUUUCUGCAUUAUUUAUUAUUUGAGACUGCCUUUCCUCCAAAUAUUUGAUUUUUUUUCCAUUCAUUCAGAACUGAAAAGUCCUUCCCACACUUCUCAACUUCCUGAGGCUUCUGUGGAUGAGGAGCCAGCUCUAAAUUUUGAGAUAUGAUUUACUCUAAGCAGACAUUGAUUACCUGUAACGCUGCAGUGGGUUGGAGCUGCUUGUUUGAAAGGCUGGGGGUGAGAAGGAUUUGGCUGUCAUUCUUCCUGGGCUGGGAAAAAGUUGAGUAUUCAUUAUUAUUAUGUAGCUGUAUUGCCCCCAUACCUGCUACUGCAGGCACUAACAGGAUUUCACAGUGCUAGGCGCUGUCCUUUCUCUAGCACAAUUUAAGGCCUUGUGGACACUUUUUUCCACCCUAGUUAUUCAGGCAAGGCUGCUAUGACAGUGCAGUCACUCUGCAGAAGCUUACACAAGGAAAAAGCUUGCAAAAAAUAUAGCUUGUAUCACUUGCCUGAGCGAAAGAAGCUGUAUUGGCAAAAAUAAACUUCUUUUCCCCCCUUUUGCUCAUAUUACAGCUGUAUCUACAUUAGGGCUUUUGCUGGCAUAGCUGAAAAAAAAUCACACUCCUAGCUGACAGGAAUAUGCUGUCAAUUUUUUUAAAUAGAUGAGUCUGAAGUAUUUCCACAUGACGGAGCCGUGUGUAUUUGUUUGUGUGGAGACGGGGGAGGGGAGAAUCUGUUUUAAAAUAGAAGUUUCUAAAAUUGAUUUGCAGAGAUCCCCUUAAAAUGACAAGCAUUGCCCUGCCAGCAGCUUCCUGCCUCCCUGCUCUCCUCUUGUAGGCUCCCAGACCCCAGCUCUGUGUGCUCCUUGCUUCCCUCCCAUCUGCCCCACAUGCCAGCACGUCCUGCCCAGAAUUUUCACUUGCCUUCCCUUCUCCUGCCUCGGUUCUCCCCUGGCAGCAUCCCACCUCAUAUGUGCUUCUUUCCUUGUCCAGACACCUGCACUGCAGCUCCCAUCCGUUCCCUCUGCCACCAAGGGCCAAUGUUCUCCCUGAAGUGUGGGUUUCUUUCCUUCCCCUUCAACUGCUGCUUCCAUGGUCACUGCUGGGAGCAAGGGCUCGAGGUCUGCCUACAAACAGAAGUCCUCCAUAUGCUCUGUGCCAUUGCAAAAUACUUUAUUUCUGGCAGUGAAACUGCACAUCAAGUCAGAAAGCAGAGGCAUUUCCAUUUCAAAUGGGGAGGCAGAGCCUUUCCAGAGCAUCUGGAAAAUAUUUGGCAAAGGACACAGAGCUGUGAUAAAAUUACAGACAUGAAGGGUCGAUUCUGCUGCUACUUGUUUUCACCAGUCACUGAUGUUCACCUCCUUCCAUCAGCUCAGACCGGUUAUGGAGCCCAAGCACCAUAGGAAGAUAUCUCAUAUGUGCUGCUUCCCGCAGAAGGUGUUAAUCCUAGAGCUGCUGUGAGCUUUCUGAGUCACCUUUGGGUUAAGGCAGGGACUGCUUUUGUGCCUCAGAGUCUUUAUCUAUAAAAUGAAACUUCCCCGUCACGAGGCAUGAACUUCAAUUUGAUUGAACUGAAACAGGACUGAGGUCUUUGGGCGGUUCUAUUGAACGGCAAGGAGUGGGGACUUGGUGGUCCUGGGAUGGCUCACAGCCUUCCUUGAAAUUGAACGCUGAGCCACCUGCACACAGUGUGAGGCAGUGGAGUGUUGGGGCAGGCUCCUGAGCAGGCGAUAGAACACCUUCAGUCACUCACAUGUCUGUGUGCAGCCAGCACCCCAGGGUCCUUACUGGUGGUUGUCUGUAGCCCGCAGGUUUUACACCUGGUAAUGAAGCACCUAUAGGAAUUUUGGAAUAGCACUGUCAGAGGACUUGUUUUAUUUUCUCUGAAUAUGACAGGUUAAGCAUUUAAAUAGUAACCCUCCACACAUUGGUAUCAAUUAUUUGUUCAGAGUUUAAACUGACAUUUAGUAAGUAUGCUAAUUGAUACGGCACUAACUUACUAUAGGUAUCUUCCUAAGUGCCAAUUAUCUGCCUCAACAUUCCCCACAAUUGAAGUUUGUUAGUAAGAAGCUAAUUACUCUAGUUUAUUGCUGAUGGAAUUACAUGAAGAGUAGAAUUUGCUCUUACAUACUUAUUAGACCUCAAUAAGUGAUCCUUAGCAGUCUGUUGCUAUUCAAUUAACAAGUAAUAACUUCCUUAAUGAAUGUAAUUGAAAUGCUUAUUUCAGUUGGGCACCUAAUAUAAAAUGCUUCAGUCGGAGAGCUUUUCUGCAUGCCAGUCUUGUUUACCUAACAGGAACAAAAUGGGGCCACCAAGAAGCUCUGAGACGGUGAUGAGAACCCAAGUGCUGGUAAAUCCCUUACAUGACCAGAUGUCAUUUACCAGGUGAUUUCUGUUCUGCAGAAAUGUCAUGGGAAUCAGCUGAAACUCUUCUCUCUGAGGAUUUAAAUCCAUGGGGAGGAUUCUGUGAUGUGAAGCUCUUCUUGCACAUUAGCUGUGCCUUCUGCGAUGGCUGUACAGCUGCUUGCUGCUCCACUGGGAGCGGUGCAGCUCAGCUCUGGUGUGCUGCUGCAGGUGCUUUGUCAUUAAAAACUCACUCCUCUUUGCUAGGACUGUGCACGUUUGGCUUAAGAGAUUGGGGGAAAUGUGAUGGUGGCUCUGUGGAGAUGUUUCUGGUGAGAGUGGCCCAAGGCUGUGGGCUGCAUGUGCUGUAGCUGGUGGGCUGCUAGACUGGGGGUUUUACAGACUAGGGAACGAUAAUGUGCUUUGUCUGUUUAUGGGAUGGGAAGACCCAGCAGUGUUUGGUGUCUGAGGCUAUUUUUGGUUUUGUGAUUAAAACUAUGGCUUUUUCUGUAAUGAGAAUUUAACACACAGGACUUGUAUUUAGGGCCAAGUGCCAGGAAAUCUUCUCAAGCAACACUAAUUAUACCAUUUGGCAACAUUAGUGUAUGGGCAGUAACCUUUUCUCAGGAAUUUUUAGCAGAUAGAUUUAGUGUCAAAAAAACCCAUGUAAUAGCUUCUGCAGUCUAUCACGUUUGUUACCAACUUUUUAAUGUAUGCCUUCUACUCAUAGAAUUGAAAGACCUUAUUGAUCUCUUAGCAGCUGAGCUGAUUAUUGGGUUAAGAUAGAGACUUCCUGAAAGAGGCCAAGAGAAAUUAUUCAUUUAACAUGUUCUGAUUUUAGUAAACUUCCAUUUAAACUCUAAAGUUAAUUAAAUAUAUAUAUAUAUUGCCAAUUGGCUCACAUAAAUUUAUUAAAUUCGGCAGAAACAGAGUGCAGACUGGUGCAUUUCAUAUCAACUUUUGUAAUAUUCUUGGGGAAAAAAUCCACAUUGACUUAUUAAGUUCCAUACAAACACAGGUAAGAACUUUGCUGUGAGAGUGAGUGCAGCAGAAAUUGUAAGUUACAGCUUGAACCAGUGAUUGAGCACCUGGUGGGAAGGCAGGGCCAACUCAGGGGAGCUCAGGUGCAUGCAAUGCAAUGCAAUGCAAUGCAUCUGAGUGACUGGAAGGGAUGCAGAUCCACCCCCUCCCAGACCUCAUUUAAGGGUUGGCAGUGGAGGCAAGGGGUAUCUCAUGGAGGUCCCUGUGUACCUGAGGCCUUCUGAAGGAAAUGACUUCCUGCAGGUGUGCACCCAUCCUGCUGUGGCCUUGCUCACAUUUGCUUCCUGGGAACAUCUAAGUGAUUAAAGAUGGGACCAUUCAUACCAAUGGUCAGGACAGGCUAUCCAUGUGGUAGAUUUUCUUCUGCUUUCAUUCCCCUGCAGUAUUUCAGCAGCUGGAGCCUCACAGGAGCUAUCACUCUCUGGCUGAUGUCGAGGACAGAGGCACCAGUCUGGCAGAGAGGUCUCGCCAUCCCUGCUGGGGUCCAAGGAAUUUGCAGAUGUUACCUAAAUGUGGGCACCCCAUGGCAUCCCUGCUGUGGUCAGUGGCUUUCACUGCUUGGAUUUAGUUAUGGUUUUAAAAAGCAGAGCUUGGAAAAGUUGUUUGUGACUGUAGGAAAAAAAUCCCAAGAAAGCAGACCAUAAAUCAGGUCAUCGGAUGAAUUCAGAAUGCACUAAUAAAAUCAGAGCUUCCAAUAAAUUUCAUUUCGGGCAGAGCAGAAACAUUUUCUUGGUUGAGAGUUCAGGAUAGAUGAUAAUUUCAGAUGUGUGUCUGGCCAGUGCAGUAUGUCUACAAAGUGUUUGCAGGCAAACAGCAGCGGCUGGUAUGGAGUCAGGCCCUCACAGCAGCUGCAUUUUAGUAUGACUGAAUAAAAAUAUGAGUAUCUAUAGCUCUCUGAGCUGAACCUAAUUAAAUAUUUAAUGUUUUUUUCCUCCCAAAUCCUUUGGUUUCUUGCUCUUUCGUACUGCGCUGCGAUGACAUUUGAACAACAAAUGCAGCCUUGGUAGGUGGGUCUCCUGGUACUGCUUUUUAUAUGAGAAGCUUGCACUUCCCAGCUGAAGUCCAGCUGCUGCAUUUAUGACGGUAUUUUGUCCUGAUCAAUUUUUAAAAAACAUUUUCCUAUCUAUGAAAUUAAUGGGUGCCUGGAGAAAUAGCAGCUCCUCCCCAUUCCUGCCAAUACUAACCUUCCCCAGACAGGAAGAGACUUCUCUUUCCCUUUAUUUACCUGCAAGAUAUCCUCACUAGUGCUCAGAAUCACAAAAGGAGAGGAAAAAUAAUAAAACCUCAGUACGUGGAAAGUGUUACCAACAGAACAACUGUGCCUACUGCAGCUAGGCUCUGCCUUUCCAGGCUCCAUUACACUGACUAAGCCCUGCAUAAUCUUCCAGGGGUCGCAGAGUGAGCCAUUAGCAAGACAGCACUAAGACAGAGGCAUCCUGAAUUUUGUAACUGCACUGAUUACUUUAAGACCCCAAUUUGAAGGGCCAUAGGUCUGAGCUGGCAGCACAGUCAUACAGAUAGCUACUUACAGCCUUACAAAUUGGUUUUCCUGCAAUCAUCAUCUUGCUACUGUGUGCUGGCAGUGUGUUUUUGUUAUGUUUUGUCUUUUUCACUGCUGCUGACAAUUAUGUUGUGAUUGGCUGCAAAACGAUGAAGGAAGUCUGAGAGGAGAGGGGCCUCACCCUGUCCUGGUGCUCCUGCAUCAGACUGUGCUGCUGCACCGUCAGCCUUCUCGUAUGUUUCCUCCCUCUCUCAGCAAUGCUUUUCCAUAUGUGUGAAUGCACCCAGGAGGGUGUACUGGGUUGCUGGGUGCCUGGCACCGUGUCAUGUGGGUUAUGAAGGCUGCUUCAGUGGGCAUCAAAAUGAAUGGUUGUAUUUCAUUCUCUCUGUGCUAGAUGGACUCUUCAUGUGCACUAUCUGUAAUGUCUCAUACCCCAACUCUCAAAGGCUGAUAAUCACUCAGGUGGAUGGACUUCAAAAGGCAGUGCCCCUCCAUAGAGAACACCUCUGGCUGUUCUGGCUGACACCUUCUUACCACAGCUGUAGUAGAAAAGCUGCACAGGGCACAAGUUAAUAAAAAGAAAUAUUUGUUCCUGUACUGGAAAAAUACACAUUAUGCUUCAUAUUUUGGGAUUUUUAUUUUUAUUUUAGCACUGUUUCCUUUCCCUUUAAUUUUUUCUUCCCAGUAAGAUGGAACCAGGUGUCAUUGUAUUGUUCUAACAUGCACAGUAACUUCGGAUGAUUAAUACUGUGACACCAUAAUCUCAUAAGAAAUAAUUUUUAUCCAUUAUCUAAAAUCAGCUUUUAAUUAAAAGAAUAUUUCAUAUUUAUACUGUGAUACUAAAUGACCCUGAUUAUUUUAAAAUUAUCUGUGCUGUUGGCACAUCCUAAGUGUAGAGCAUGCAUCUUUCUGUUGGGCUUUAUUGUCUGCCUGAAAGGUGAAUUUCAAGUACCAAGCAUUACUAAGUAAGUAGGAAUGUCCUUCUAUGUGUAGGUUUGUAAUUAAUUUGCCAAGAAUGAUCUCUAUCUUCUUGUAGCCUAUAUUUCAGGAGGAAAAAAACAUCCUGUUUCAAAACUUUUCCAUAAUUGAAUCAUAGAAUGGCCUGGGUUGAAAAGGACCUCAGAGCUCAUCCAGUUCCAACCCCCUGCUGUGGCAGGGUUGCCAACCAGCAGCCCAGGCUGCCCAGAGCCACAUCCAGCCUGGCUUGAAUGCCUCCAGGGAUGGGGCAUCCACAGCCUCCUUGGGCAACCUGUUCCAGUGCAUCACCACCCUCUGUGUGAAAAAAUUCCUCCUAAUAUUUAAUCUAAACCUCCCCUGUCUCAAUUUAAAACCAUUCCCCCUUUCCUAUCACUGUCCACCCUUGUA
Molecule: long non-coding RNA, 6276 nt
Organism: Lagopus muta (rock ptarmigan)
Lineage: Eukaryota; Metazoa; Chordata; Aves; Galliformes; Phasianidae
Exons: 3
Source: RefSeq, a predicted model, not a curated record